UUUAUAUACUGUAGAACAUAUGAAGUGUCAUUAAAUUUCUGUUCUGAUAUCUGACUUGUGACUUGAAAUUUUCCACUGCAGACUUAGAUAUUCUUACAUGUUAGAAAAUUUACAAUUUUCAGGCAUAAUGUAACAAUUUGUAAGGUAGUUUUUCUUGACAAGAAUUUGGUGAAUAAUGCAGUUAUGGGAAUGAUAACUUAAGUGGGUCAAUGUCAUUUCUUUGGUACAUAAAAAUUGUUUUGUUUUCUUCUGCCCAUGGAUCAUGUCAACUGGGUACAUUAUUUCUUACAAAGUGGUGCUUUUUGUAAAGAAAGGGAAUUUUAGUUUACUUGAUUGCCUGCCAUUACUGAUUUUCUUUUUUAUUGUUAUUACAGUUUGAGAACCUUAAACAUUAAGUAUCUUACUUUAUUAGAAGAGUAUCAUCUUAGCUGUACACAGGCUUUGACAGAUGAAGAGAGGAAAAGAGGAAUAAAGAAAGUAGUGACAGAAAAAACAAAGGUUAUUCAUAUAAAAUUUAUGCCUGAAAGUGCAUGGUGAAAAUGUGAUUCUUUUCUGUUAUUAAGACCUGACAGUUUAAUGCUCCUUGCACCAUUUGUCCCAGAAGAUGCAUGCAGAUUUUAAGAACUGUAAGGAAUCUACUGGCCAAAUAUGAAGCAAGAGAUGAUUUUCUUGGCUCAUUCAUGUCAGACAGGUCAUGGAUGCAUCACUUCCAGCCUCAAACCAAGGAAGUUAGAAGAAAACAGUGUCAUCCUUGAUCACUGUAGCCCAAAAGAUUUUCAGUAGCAUAGUAGGGAAGAUAGGUGCAUGCUUCCUGGAGAAUGACAAAUAGCCCCCUUCAGAGCCAACAAGAAGAGCCACAGAAGACUUAUCUGAACUGUUACUUUCUCCAAGUGCCUAAAUGAGACAUAAUAUAACCAAGUUACACUUUCAUUCUGAAGUCUCUUGAAAGAAACUGUUUACAGUGCACUCUAUACUGGAGUAUUGUUGGACAUUUGCAGAUAUCGAGGACUUAAGGUAUGGGGAUUAUGUGAGUAAAUGUUAGAUUUAGAAGCCAAAUAAAAGAUACGCCACUAGGAACCACACUGCUAAUUUUAGAAUUCUGAGUCAAGUCAUGAAAAAUAUAUUCUCAGCUUAUCUUCGUAAAGGCUGUAAGUUAUAAAUUAACACACAUGCACAGUUAGUGUCUUUUUAUUGGGCCAUACUUACAUCUGUUUGUUCUGGUAGCUGUCUACUAAUGUACGGAUAAUACACAAUUGUUAAAUUCCAUA
This is a non-coding RNA of Zootermopsis nevadensis, 1268 nucleotides long. NCBI's taxonomy places the organism in Eukaryota, Metazoa, Arthropoda, Insecta, Blattodea, Termopsidae. The record is from RefSeq and is a predicted model, not a curated record.